This is a long non-coding RNA of Clupea harengus (Atlantic herring), 405 nucleotides long. The record is from Ensembl. Lineage: Eukaryota; Metazoa; Chordata; Actinopteri; Clupeiformes; Clupeidae.
GAAUGUAUGGGAAUGUGAAAAUAAAAACAGCGAAGAAGGUGAGGCCAACAAGUGUGAACGUGAGAGAAAAGGUGAGAUUAAGGUGAGAGAGGGAGUGAAAACGAGUGUGUGUUAAGGUGAGAUGAUCCAGUGUGUGUUAGGGUGAGAUGAUCCAGUGUGUGUUAGGGUGAGAUGAUCCAGUGUGUGUUAAGGUGAGAUGACCCAGUGUGUGUUAAGGUGAGAUGAUCCAGUGUGUGUUAAGGUGAGAUGACCCAGUGUGUGUUAAGGUGAGAUGACCCAGUGUGUGUAGCUGAACAGCAUUAGGAAUGUCCCACCUUCUGGUCCUGAGCGCUCAUACAGAAUCCCCCUUCAAAAGUGCCCUGCAGACUCACCACCGACACGUCCAAACACAGGCCACACACCCAG